AGAGAGAGCCGCCUACAGAGGAGAAAAAGGAGAGAGAAAGGAGAGAAAGGGAUGAGAGAAAAAAGAAAGGAGAAGAGGAAAAGGGAAGAGGAAAAAAGGAGAGAGUGAGUAUUGAGGAGAUUUGAUUUUCAUAUUUGGGUCUUCAUCUCCAUUGUUAAUAGGAAUGGAAAGUUUCUCUCUGAAGGCCACAUCCGCUGCUUGCAGGCGAUUGUAGCCCUUAAAUCUGGAGCUUGAGGCCAGGUCAAGUGAGUUUGAACUCGAGUGUUUUCUGGAGGUGGAGGUGAAUCUAUCUGUUUCAAUCUUGGUCGGUGUUUUUAGGUUGGUGCUUUUGGCUACUAUUGUUGGUGAGUACAAACUCAAAAUAAAUAGACACAAUGAUAAAGCAGAAAGCUAGAGGUAGAGAGGAAGGAAGGGAUAGAACUGAGGUUGUUAGAAUUAUUUUUUUGGGUGUAAUUAAUAUAAUUAAUACAUUCAUUAUCAA
Molecule: long non-coding RNA, 481 nt
Organism: Tripterygium wilfordii
Lineage: Eukaryota; Viridiplantae; Streptophyta; Magnoliopsida; Celastrales; Celastraceae
Exons: 2
Source: RefSeq, a predicted model, not a curated record